This is a long non-coding RNA of Callorhinus ursinus (northern fur seal), 457 nucleotides long. RefSeq lists it as uncharacterized. Lineage: Eukaryota; Metazoa; Chordata; Mammalia; Carnivora; Otariidae. The record is from RefSeq and is a predicted model, not a curated record.
GAGCCACCCAGGCGCCCUCUUGUGUUCUCUUUUAAUUGGAGAGACUCAAACAAGAAGGAUCCAGACUGGCUGGAUUCCAUCUGCACCUUUGAGCCCUCUGAGCAGCUCAUGGUGGAGGGAGCCCGUCGCCCAAGCAGCACCUGGCACAGAGCAGGUGCCCCGCGUACAAGUCGCCUAUAGAGAAGGAGAGGAUGUUCCAGCAAGCUUUCUGGCUAUUUGAACAUCUUCCUAAACGAAUUUCAGAAUUAUUGAAAGGUUUUAGAGAACUGGUUUUGGAAAGGUUGUCAGAACAAAGAUAAUUGUUGAAGUAAGGAGGGAGAGGGAGAAAAAAAGAACAAAGGUAAUUGUUAAUCUGUAAGCCACAUCUUCGCUUCUUGCUUGCAGACCUAUUUGCUCUGCAAUGCUCACAGAAUUUUUUAAAAAUGCAAAUGUUAGCUAAGUAUUCUUUUAUUAAUUU